GGACCAAGGAGUCCAGCGAACGAGCGUGACGCAAAGGUUCUUUUUGUAGAAUCCGUCAAACUUAACGAAAGCAAUCGAAGCGUACUCGCGGGUACGCUUCUAGUUUGUAUGAUGAGACGUGCGCGCGUUAUACGCGUCGUCUAAGCAAAUCGGAGAUGGCAAUUACGCGUCAGCAAUGGCGCUGCCGUACUCGUAGCUCGUGCUCUGGAACCCGAAAGAUGGUGAACUAUGCAUGGAAAGGAUGAAGCCAGGGGAAACUCUGGUGGAGGUCCGCAAUGGUUCUGACGUGCAAAUCGAUCAUCAGAACUAUGUAUAGGGGCGAAAGACCAAUCGAACCAUCUAGUAGCUGGUUCCUUUCGAAGUUUCCCUAAGGAUAGCUGAGGUCUGGUGGCGAUAGUCACAUGCGGUAAAGCGAAUGAUUAGAGUCGUUGGGUUCGAAACGUUCUCAACCUAUUCUCAAACUGUUAAUGUGUGUGUUUUCCAUUAGCUAGCAUGCGAUGUAGCAAAUGGAUAGAUAGUGAAGGCCUUCAGUGGGCCAUUUUUGGUAAGCAGAACUGGCGAUGCGGGAUGAACCGGUCGUAAAGUUAUAGUGCCAAAAGCAACGCAUAUCGGACCCCACAAAAGGCGUUAGUAACUAAAGACAGCAGGACGGUGGCCAUGGAAGUCGGC
Molecule: ribosomal RNA, 669 nt
Filed under: Caccoplectus orbis
Lineage: Eukaryota; Metazoa; Arthropoda; Insecta; Coleoptera; Staphylinidae
Description: eukaryotic LSU rRNA
Rfam family: Eukaryotic large subunit ribosomal RNA
Source: RNAcentral